This 332-nucleotide unclassified non-coding RNA is filed under the name soil metagenome. Its description in RNAcentral is "partial contains 5.8S ribosomal RNA, internal transcribed spacer 2, and large subunit ribosomal RNA". The stretch from base 1 to 120 matches the Rfam family "5.8S ribosomal RNA", at positions 35 to 154 of the family's 154-position model. The record is from RNAcentral.
GAUGAAGAACGUAGCAAAAUGCGAUAAGUAAUGUGAAUUGCAGAAUUCAGUGAAUCAUCGAAUCUUUGAACGCACAUUGCGCCCGCCAGUAUUCUGGCGGGCAUGCCUGUUCGAGCGUCAUUUCAACCCUCAAGCACAGCUUGGUAUUGGGACUCGCGUUAAUUCGCGUUCCUCAAAUUGAUUGGCGGUCACGUCGAGCUUCCAUAGCGUAGUAGUAAAACCCUCGUUACUGGUAAUCGUCGCGGCCACGCCGUUAAACCCCAACUUCUGAAUGUUGACCUCGGAUCAGGUAGGAAUACCCGCUGAACUUAAGCAUAUCAAUAAGCGGAGGA